CUACAGUUCCACUCCAUAAUAGUUUUAUAAAUGCUAACCAUUUAACCUAGAACAUAAAACUUCACUUUAAAAUUAUUAUACAAUUUACAAAAACAGGAGUUAUUCGAUUUUGGUCGUAAAACUUGAAUCUAUUUAAAUAAACGUAGAACAGUUUAAAAUUGUUUGUACUUGGAAAAUGCAUUGCACGUAGACAUAUGUAUAAAAAACACAUUUAUACACUCACAACUUAGUGGCUUAUGGUGUAUUCAAAAUCAAUUUGAAAUUAAUUAUGUAUUAAAAGCAUUAUAGUGUGUCAAACAAUGGCAUUUUUGUGAUCCAUAAAAAUCCAUUUAUCGAUGAAUGUGAAAGUUUGAAUAAAUCCAUAAUAUUUUUAAUGCUUGUUUAUGCACCCAUAUUACACACUUGACAUAACUAUACACUGAGUAAGAUUGUCCGAGUUAUAAAUGAUAGUCUUAUGACUACUCGUAGGAUUAUGGAUUAGUGCCAAUUUCAAUUCAAGGGACAGGAAAAUAAAACCUACACAAACAAUAAGGAAGAAAAAUAAAUCAUAUAGACUUGAAGUACAAAAAGUGUGUUACCAAUUAAUUUGUAUUAUCUUCAGAGCAUUUAUUGGUGAAGUUUCGAUCUUUAAGUUUGUAUAUUGACACAAAAUAAUACAAAGUGGCUUAAGAAGGAUAAAUAGAACAUACGAGUCGAGACAGCUGAUUGACUAUGGAUUUGUAAUUUCUUUUCCUUCUUUUCUACACAAAUGGGAAAACGUUUCCGUAUUAACAUUUCGUUCUUUACAAAUCAUAAUUCGUGGUUAUUAUGGAAAAUACCACUCUGAUAAUACUUACAUAUCUAUAUGUCUAUAUACAUGUAACCAAACAUAAUUUCAUAAUUUAUUUAUAUGGAAUCAAGCGUUACUAAUAUUCUUACAUUGCUCAAUGCCGAUCACAAUAAAGAAUGUUGAAACCAAAUUAAAAAUAUGUUUCAUUAUUUGUUAAAAAUAUUCGAUUGCUUAAAUUCUCUAAAGAUGAAAAUACUCAAACACUAAGUCAAUGUUCAAGUUGUGAUUUAUUGAAUGAUUAAAAUUAGUGAAGUAGGAAAACAAGGUUAGCAAAAAAGAUAUCCUCGAUUUGUAUGUUUAUUUUUGUUAAAUUAGAUUUUAAUCUUUAUUUUUUUUAUUUUGAUUAAAAUUUCCCUGUAAGAUAAAUUAGAAACUAAAACCGCACAGCUCAUUGUAACAAUAGUGUGUGUUUGAGAUUUCAUCGAUAAAUUCAUAGAAUGGAAAUAUUUAUUUUUUUUUUUUUUCAAUUUUCAUAAUAGCAGUUUUUGAUUUCAACAAUUUAACAAAAAUCAACUGGUUAACAAAUGCUAAACAAUUUAAUAGUUUUCGAUUUACAGUUUUACGGAAUAAAACUCUGUCUCUGAUACUAAUUGAAGUUUAUUCCUCAAAUAAAUUCACUUCAAUUAUUGGAAUGAAAUUAGUUAAAUAACAAUGCAUUUACUUGGAUACACUUUGAAGCAUGGUGUUGCGUUGUUUUUAAUAAAAAUGUCCAUGGGAAUUGUUAUAUUAACUCUCGCUAAUUAUAAGCAAUUAUAGCUAUAACAACAAAUACUCAUUUAAACCCACGGUUAGCGUAAACAAUAAACAUGACGAUUAAAAAUACCCACCAAUGUUAUCCUUGUAUCAACUAAACACUCAUUAAGGAUCUAUAUUAUGCUAACUAGCUAGCUAGAUACGUUCUAAAAACCUAUAAUACUGCGAAAACCUCAACAGGUUUUUCGAUAAAAAUAAAGUAAAUCACUCAAGUUGGCUCAGUUAUUUAGUAUUUUUUCACUGUACGUACAUACACAGAUACUUGAUAUCGAUAAGUCGGCAACUACACACUUUGAUGACCUAAAACGCUUAUAUCAUCCUUUAUCAAAAAAGGAUUGUUUAACACAUGAAUGCAUUUUGACUGCACAUAUUGCCAAAAUCAAUAUUUUAUUUUUAACUCUACGUCCUUUCAUCUCUUUCUAUCAUCACUCGCUGGCUUUAAGAAAACAAGCAAGUCCUAGGUUCAAGUACCUAUAGGCACGAUUGCCACUUUAGUAAUUUAUGACCAAAUUUGGUUAUUAUUGUGGGCUUUGUUAUUUUUAACGAAAUGAAUAGAUAAAUACUUCCUAUUUUUUUAAAAGUUGCGAUGCAUAUGAACUAUGUAUAUGACAAGUGUUGCAUUCGUACAAAUUUUCGAACUUGAGAUAUUAAUCAACCAUGACAUUGCGUUGGUAUAGAAGUCGCAAAAAGGGGAUCCCGUUAAUUCUUCUGUCUGUCUGAUUGCAUAUUGUUUUGAUCUUAAACAAUAUUGAAAAACGCGAUUUAACUUCCGAGUUUGAACUCAAUCGACAAAAUGGUAAAGGCUGUAGGUAGGUAGAUAUGAAUAAAUAAAUACUUCCUAUUUUUUUAAAAGUUGCCAUGCAUAUGAACUAUGCAUGUAAAUACAUAUAGGACAAGUGUUGCAUUCGUACAAAUUUUCGAACUUGAGAUAUUAAUCAAACAAGACAUUGCGUUUGUAUAGAAGUCGCAAAAAGGGGGUCCCGUGAAUUCUUCUGUCUGUCUGCUUGCACCUACAGCCCUUACCAUUUUGUGGAUUGAGUUCAAACUCGGAAGUUAAAUCGCGUUUUUCAAUAUUGUUUAAGAUCAAAAAUAACAGUAGUCCCCAUUCAAUUUUUUGGUCAAAAAUUUAAAAUUCCAAAUUACUCAAAAAUUUCCUUAAA
Long non-coding RNA from Eupeodes corollae, 2742 nucleotides. RefSeq lists it as uncharacterized. The transcript is spliced from 3 exons. The record is from RefSeq and is a predicted model, not a curated record. NCBI's taxonomy places the organism in Eukaryota, Metazoa, Arthropoda, Insecta, Diptera, Syrphidae.